GCUUCAUUCAAUGCAACAACAAACUGAUGAGCUUAUUUUCUUCAAAAUAACUAAACAACACACAAAAUGCUCAUCGUAUUCCUUUGCAUUACUUUUAACUCUAUUCUGGUUUCAGGUUCCUCUCUCAGUGACAAGGUUUACAUGAGUCCAGCUGACAUAAUCAAACAACCUGAAGAAACAGCCAAAAUCAAAUGUUCACACAGUAUUGACACCUAUGAUCGAGUCCUCUGGUACAAGCAAACGAAGGACGGUCAACUACAGUUCCUGGGAUACAUGUAUCAAGACAAUAAAAACCUAGAGCCUUCUAUUGUAGAUGUGAAGAUGGAUGGGAAUGCAGCUAAAGACCAGACCUGCACAUUAACAGUUGAAGGACUGAGCCAGAACAGCAGUGCAGUGUACUUCUGUGCUGCUAGUUUACACAGUGCUUCAUAUCUCUGCUGCUCAGUACAAAAACCUCCUCAGCACACAUUGUUUAAUCUCCACGUUGAAGCUCAAAGCCCCUUGCACCUGUGUUCCUUCCUCUCAUUAGGUGGCAGACAAGAUGGUUAUAAUGUUAAGACGAUGAGGAAGCACUAGACACCACCUAAUGACUUCCUGUUUAUUUGCUGAUAAUAACAAUAUUUGCUCAAAGUGGA
Non-coding RNA from Sebastes umbrosus (honeycomb rockfish), 635 nucleotides. NCBI's taxonomy places the organism in Eukaryota, Metazoa, Chordata, Actinopteri, Perciformes, Sebastidae. The record is from the annotation of a RefSeq genome assembly.